UAAACAAGGAGAGUUCUGGCACAAUGUAAAUCUCCAUAAGCGCAAUGCUAAAGUAUGGGUUCAUUUCAGUGACAAAAACUCACUUUUUGGAUCGGUCUUGAUAGCGGUGUUUUUUUCGAGGUUUGAGGGGUUGUAUAUGUGUGUAGGGGUAGUGGAUGUGUUUUAGGGGGGUUGUGUGUUAAGGGGUAGUAGGAAAAAACAAAUUUCUAAUUUUAGAAUCAUGCUUAGUAACACAAGCGGCGGCGUACUUGAUUGCGGUGUUUUUUUCGAUGUUUGAGGGGUUGUAUAUGUGUGUAGGGGUAGUAGAUGUCUUUUAGGGGGGUUGUAGAUAAGGGGUAGGUAGGUAAAAACAAAUUUCUAAUUUUAGAAUCAUGCUUAGUAACACAAGCGGCGUACUUCAUAAAAUGUAUAACUUAGUAGUAGUCGUUUGCGGUUGAGAUUUAUUUUUAGAUGUUAUCUUAGUAACAUAGCGUUAGAAAUAAAACGUCUUGCGGUUCUGUUGAUAAGACAAACACAUGUGUUUGUGGUUUACUAUAAUCCUUCAAUGGUUGUAGUGUUAUCGAUGUAGUACAAUAUUUGUUGCAAGUUUUCGAUACAGAUUUCGAGAUUGUGGUCUACAGAUGGAAAAAUUUACAAUGUUGCUGAAGCAAAUAUUUAUAACAUUGAGGUUUUACAACAGAAAAAUAAAACGUUAUCAAAAUGAAAUAGGUAUUAAGAAAAAAUGUCAACUAUAAACGAAAUUACUGUGCCUAUGAAUAAAUGCGAGUGGCUCUUUUCAGUGAUUUGUCGGUAUGUACCUACCAUCGGGAUAUACAGUGCUUUGCCCAUGUGCACAUAAUCUAGUCUACGAUGAGACCGAGCACAAUUUAUUGUUCUUAGAGCCAUUUUUUGGGGAUCAUUUUAUUUGGGUGUUUGAGACAAAAUGCAGGAGCUCAACAACAAUUUUUUGCAGGGUAGGACCGUAAGUAAGGUAACAAUUUUUUUGUUUCAAUAAUAAAUUAUGUUUGCUUUUAUUAUUACAGACGACGUAUGUCCACCCCAAGAAAUUGUUUUUGCUAAAUUGGAGGUUUUACCUACUGUUAUUUAAUAAAAAAUAUAUUUGAGUUAUCUUUUUUUAUUUUGUGACAUAUGUAUGUAUAUGAGACCUGUUUUAUUAUUACAGACGACGUAUGU
Molecule: long non-coding RNA, 1173 nt
Organism: Photinus pyralis (common eastern firefly)
Lineage: Eukaryota; Metazoa; Arthropoda; Insecta; Coleoptera; Lampyridae
Exons: 3
Source: RefSeq, a predicted model, not a curated record